CAUGGAGAAGCCGUGGAGCUACCACCAGAGUCAGACAUGCUGGAACCUUGCUGGAUUCAGUUGCUGUUUCCCAUUCCAGCAGAGGCUUGUGAUCUGUGGUCCAUGACUUCUACUGGCAGGUAACAGAUAUUACACCUACUCCAGCUCACAAUCAACCAUAGGAGAAGAAAAACUAUUGAUACCAUUAAAAUUAAUAAAGAUUCACUUUGAAAAGGAGGAAACUCUUGAAAAAAAGAAAUGACAGCUCUUCCACAAUGGUGACAACCAUACAGGAGGAAGAAGAUGGUGCACCAUAGCAACAAAUCCACCUGGUUGAGAUGACAUCAUGAUGCUGAUAGCACUACUAUAAGACCGGUUUUGGGGGGUGCCAGCUGCUGAAAUGGUGCACCUUCUCAUGAUGUUCUGGCCAGAAAUCUAAAUCUCUUUUCUGGCUGCAAAAUUCAGUUGCUAUUCCCCAUUCCAGCAGAGGAUUGUGAUCUGGAUCAAAAUACCUUGUCAGGCUUGGAGGUAAACAUCACUUUCCACUGGGGCAUCUACCUGGCUCCACUUUAAAGCUUUUAAUCUAAGUUUCUAGAGAGUCAGUUUCCCCAGGGAGUUGGACCUUCCUCAUAAGUUUUAGAAUGAAGAUUGCCGGGAGGUAGCUUGAUCCUCUUAGAGCUGCUGACAACCCAAGCUGGCUUGUAUCACAAUCCCUCUGCUGAGCCACGUUUUGUUCAUGAGGCAGACAACCACUACGUGUAAUGAAGCAUCUAUGGGUUCCCAACAAUGAGACCAUCAGUCAA
Long non-coding RNA from Alexandromys fortis (reed vole), 782 nucleotides. RefSeq lists it as uncharacterized. The transcript is spliced from 9 exons. The record is from RefSeq and is a predicted model, not a curated record. NCBI's taxonomy places the organism in Eukaryota, Metazoa, Chordata, Mammalia, Rodentia, Cricetidae.